Long non-coding RNA from Gopherus flavomarginatus (Mexican gopher tortoise), 840 nucleotides. RefSeq lists it as uncharacterized. The record is from RefSeq and is a predicted model, not a curated record. NCBI's taxonomy places the organism in Eukaryota, Metazoa, Chordata, Testudines, Testudinidae. The transcript is spliced from 3 exons.
GGGGCUCGGUCUUUCUAACCCUAAGCGGAACGUGGCCCCUCCCCGCCGCAGCCGUCCGCUGUUUUACUCGCUGACUUUCAGCGGGCGGGGGGAGCGGGCGGAGACACCAACCAAAAAACGUCAGCGAGGGGCCCUCCCCUCCCACGCCGACCUGGGCCGGUGUGGGGCCCGCCAGAGAAGUCCCCGCCGCCCCGCCCUGGUGAGGCCGCGGUCAGCCGGUUCGCGCCACUGCUGCCGCGAAGAGUUCGUCUCUGUCAGCCUCGGGGGCGGCCGGGGUGGAAGGGCGGGUCCCGGGCGGGUCGGCCGGGAGAGCAAACAUUUCUACCUUUGAUCCCAGCUGCAGCAUGGUCAGCUCUUCUGGUGCUUCACUCCCACUGGGACCCAGAAGGGCAAGAGAGAAGGACUGCAAAAAUUACGAGCCUGAAGAUCUUUCCGAAUCUUAACAGAAAGGUGAAGUUUGAGAGAGACACGCAUUCCCGGGGAGAGCAGGAACAGAUCUAGAGGGAUACAAUGGAGGUGAGUGAGAUCUGAAAAUGGGAAAGUGCGUUCAAAGACUAUUUACAGAAGCCGUUAGGAAUCAUGCUGCGUCUAGCCGUGUAAAGAGCAGGCGGUGCCUGGAACCUCCACUGGGUAUAUAGUCGCAUACACUUUACCUUCACGCAUGUAGAUCUACGCACGAGGUUUAAGCUACACCAUCAGCCCUGCUCCUGCUGCUUUCCUCCAGCUCCAGCUUUCCGCGGGGACCCCAGAAGGAGAGAAAGGGGGCUCCUCCGGAAAGGUAGCAGCAGGAGCGGAGAGGAAAUGAGCAGGAGCGUGCUGCUGAGCCGCAGGUUGGGUUGU